CGUGUAGGCGGCGAUUUAAGUCUGGAGUGAAAGUCCUGCUUUUAAGGUGGGAAUUGCUUUGGAUACUGGAUGGCUAGAGUGCAGGAGAGGUUAGUGGAAUUCCCAGUGUAGCGGUGAAAUGCGUAGAGAUUAGGAAGAACACCAGUGGCGAAGGCGAUUCUCUGGACUGUAACUGACGCUGAGGCUCGAAAGCGUGGGAGCAAACA
Molecule: ribosomal RNA, 206 nt
Filed under: uncultured bacterium
Lineage: Bacteria
Description: partial 16S ribosomal RNA
Rfam family: Bacterial small subunit ribosomal RNA
Source: RNAcentral